This 440-nucleotide ribosomal RNA is filed under the name uncultured bacterium. RNAcentral describes it as "partial 16S ribosomal RNA". It matches the Rfam family "Bacterial small subunit ribosomal RNA", at positions 339 to 795 of the family's 1533-position model. The record is from RNAcentral.
CUACGGGAGGCUCCAGUAGGGAAUAUUGGACAAUGGGCGAAAGCCUGAUCCAGCAACACCGCGUGCACGAUGACGGCCUUCGGGUUGUAAAGUGCUUUUAGAGGAGAUGAGAAAGGACAGUAUCCUCUGAAUAAGCCUCGGCGAACUACGUGCCAGCAGCCGCGGUAAAACGUAGGAGGCAAGCGUUAUCCGGAUUUAUUGGGCGUAAAGCGCGUGCAGGCGGUCUAGCAAGUUGGAUGUGAAAGCUCCCGGCUCAACUGGGAGAGGUCGUUCAAUACUGUUAGACUAGAGAAUAGGAGAGGGAGGUGGAAUUCCGGGUGUAGUGGUGAAAUGCGUAGAUAUCCGGAGGAACACCAGUGGCGAAAGCGGCCUCCUGGACUAUUUCUGACGCUAAGACGCGAAAGCUAGGGUAGCAAACGGGAUUAGAUACCCUUGUAGUC